CACUACACUCACAGCAUUCCUUGUAUAAGUUUGAGAAUAUGGCUCAAGCGUUUCUACAAAGCUACCGUAAAUAGCUUAACUACAAGGGAUUACGUUUAUUUA
This 102-nucleotide non-coding RNA is filed under the name Pontibacillus litoralis. RNAcentral describes it as "Guanine sequence". It matches the Rfam family "Purine riboswitch aptamer". Rfam says of the family: Riboswitches are metabolite binding domains within certain messenger RNAs that serve as precision sensors for their corresponding targets. Allosteric rearrangement of mRNA structure is mediated by ligand binding, and this results in modulation of gene expression. RNAcentral also lists the same sequence under 1 other name. The record is from RNAcentral. Lineage: Bacteria; Bacillati; Bacillota; Bacilli; Caryophanales; Bacillaceae.